RNAcentral lists this ribosomal RNA (435 nucleotides) under Chalcoscirtus sinevi. RNAcentral's name for it is "partial 16S ribosomal RNA". The record is from RNAcentral. Lineage: Eukaryota; Metazoa; Arthropoda; Arachnida; Araneae; Salticidae.
UUCUAUUAAAAUCACUAAUUAAUAGUAAGAUCUGCUCAAUGAAAAAUAAAUAGCCGCAAUUCGUGCUAAGGUAGCAUAAUCAUUUGUCUUUUAAAUAAAGACUAGAACAAAAGAUUUAACAUUUUAAUAAAUAUAUCUGAUAUAAAUAUUCAAUUUUUAAAAGAAGUAAAAAUACUACUAUAAUAAAGAAAGACGACAAGACCCUAUUGAACUUAACUUUAGUUAAACUGGGGUAGUAAAUUAAUUAUGAUUUUAAUACAAAUAAAAUAAUAAAUAUCCUUUAUAAUAGAUUAAUCCAGUUACCAUAGGGAUAACAGCGCAAUUACUUUUUAAAGCUCUUAUAUUAAAAAUAGAUUACGACCUCGAUGUUGAAUUAAUAACCUAAAUAAGGCAAAUCUUAAACAAGGAAGUCUGUUCGACUUUUAAAAAAUUACA